Uranotaenia lowii is the source of this 949-nucleotide long non-coding RNA. RefSeq lists it as uncharacterized. The transcript is spliced from 3 exons. The record is from RefSeq and is a predicted model, not a curated record. Lineage: Eukaryota; Metazoa; Arthropoda; Insecta; Diptera; Culicidae.
GAUUUGUUCGGAGCAUAUAGCAUGUUUUCCGCUUAUUUUUUAGGUUUAGAUUUAAUUGUAUUAUUUUUAUUCAUUUUCGAUCACGCAGCGAAAAGUAGUACCAUUGAGAUAAAAAAAAUACAUCUUCGAUUCAAAAACCACGUGUACAUUGAAACAAAAUCCAUUUCCCUUGAUUCAAGUAAAUUUUAUAUUGAACCGAAAUUUUUUUCCAUUAAACCAAUGUUCCAAAUUUUUGGAUCAAAGUAUUUAAUUUGAGUUUAAAGAAUUUUUUUUUUGACUCAGAAUCAAUGUGAAAAUUCAUUGAUUUAGAUGAAUUUUCUUUUGAAUCAAAGUAUUUUUUCGUCAAACAGUCGACAUCUUCAGUAGCUUCUUUUUGGUGAACGGGACGGCAAGAAGGUUUGCCGCGCAACAGCCAGACAGCACCGGAAACACAAGAUCCGGCGUAGGAAAGUCUUGGCAGCUUUAAGAGGGCAGACGAUAGUGACUCCUAGGGCAACCAUUCAUCCAACUAAUUCCUUCCGAUCCGGUCCAAGGAGAAAUCUGGCGCCGAAACCCUUCAUGAGUUGUUCGAAAGGAACUGUCGCCAACAAACAUCGUUCAAUGUACCGGUUCAAAACUUAAAUCAUAGGGAAAAUCGAUAAUGUGAAUGUGAUAAUGUAAUCUAAAUAAAUAAAAUGUUGUAAACCAUAAUUGAUUUCUUUUUUUUCCAAUUGGAAGAAAAUAAAUAUGUAGUACUAGAAUUAUUAAAACAAAAAGUAGAAUUGAAGAACAAAUGCUUUUAAAUUGAAACCCAAAUACCGUUGGAACAAACGAAAAGUUCAUAAAAUUAAACGAAAAGACUUUUGAAUCAAAAGCAUUUUGUUUUUCGAAUCAAAGAAAAAGUUUUGAUUCAAAGGAAAGCAUUUCUUCGAAACAAAAGAAAAUGUUUUUGAAUCGAAGGAAUUUUUAU